Molecule: ribosomal RNA, 450 nt
Filed under: uncultured organism
Description: partial 16S ribosomal RNA
Rfam family: Bacterial small subunit ribosomal RNA
Source: RNAcentral
CGUACACUCCUGCGGGAGGCAGCAGUGGGGAAUAUUGGACAAUGGGCGCAAGCCUGAUCCAGCCAUGCCGCGUGAGUGAUGAAGGCCCUAGGGUUGUAAAGCUCUUUCACCGGUGAAGAUAAUGACGGUAACCGGAGAAGAAGCCCCGGCUAACUUCGUGCCAGCAGCCGCGGUAAUACGAAGGGGGCUAGCGUUGUUCGGAUUUACUGGGCGUAAAGCGCACGUAGGCGGACUAUUAAGUCAGGGGUGAAAUCCCGGGGCUCAACCCCGGAACUGCCUUUGAUACUGGUGGUCUUGAGUUCGGGAGAGGUGAGUGGAAUGCCGAGUGUAGAGGUGAAAUUCGUAGAUAUUCGGAGGAACACCAGUGGCGAAGGCGGCUCACUGGCUCGAUACUGACGCUGAGGUGCGAAAGCGUGGGGAGCAAACAGGAUUAGAAACCCCAGUAGUCCC